This 481-nucleotide ribosomal RNA is filed under the name uncultured bacterium. RNAcentral describes it as "bacterial SSU rRNA". It matches the Rfam family "Bacterial small subunit ribosomal RNA", at positions 26 to 518 of the family's 1533-position model. The record is from RNAcentral.
AGGACGAACGCUGGCGGCGUGCUUAACACAUGCAAGUCGAACGAUGACGAUGGUGCUUGCACCGUCUGAUUAGUGGCGAACGGGUGAGUAACACGUGAGUAACCUGCCCUCCUCUUCGGGAUAACCGCCGGAAACGGUGGCUAAUACCGGAUAUGAAUGCCUGCCGCAUGGUGGGUGUUGGAAAGAUUUAUCGGUGGGGGAUGGACUCGCGGCCUAUCAGUUUGUUGGUGAGGUAAUGGCUCACCAAGGCGAUGACGGGUAGCCGGCCUGAGAGGGCGACCGGCCACACUGGGACUGAGACACGGCCCAGACUCCUACGGGAGGCAGCAGUGGGGAAUAUUGCACAAUGGGCGAAAGCCUGAUGCAGCGACGCCGCGUGGGGGAUGACGGCCUUCGGGUUGUAAACCUCUUUCAGCAGGGAAGAAGCGAGAGUGGCGGUACCUGCAGAAGAAGCGCCGGCUAACUACGUGCCAGCCGCGGC